AGAGCGAACGCUGGCGGCAGGCCUAAUACAUGCAAGUCGAACGGAUCCUUCGGGAUUAGUGGCGGACGGGUGAGUAACACGUGGGAACGUGCCCUUUGGUUCGGAACAACUCAGGGAAACUUGAGCUAAUACCGGAUGUGCCCUUCGGGGAAAGAUUUAUCGCCAUUGGAGCGGCCCGCGUCUGAUUAGCUAGUUGGUGGGGUAAAGGCCCACCAAGGCGACGAUCAGUAGCUGGUCUGAGAGGAUGAUCAGCCACACUGGGACUGAGACACGGCCCAGACUCCUACGGGAGGCAGCAGUAGGGAAUCUUGCGCAAUGGGCGAAAGCCUGACGCAGCCAUGCCGCGUGAAUGAUGAAGGUCUUAGGAUUGUAAAAUUCUUUCAGCGGGGACGAUAAUGACGGUACCCGCAGAAGAAGCCCCGGCUAACUUCGUGCCAGCAGCCGC
RNAcentral lists this ribosomal RNA (445 nucleotides) under uncultured bacterium. Its description in RNAcentral is "SSU rRNA". It matches the Rfam family "Bacterial small subunit ribosomal RNA", at positions 26 to 518 of the family's 1533-position model. The record is from RNAcentral.